RNAcentral lists this ribosomal RNA (506 nucleotides) under uncultured bacterium. Its description in RNAcentral is "partial 16S ribosomal RNA". It matches the Rfam family "Bacterial small subunit ribosomal RNA", at positions 30 to 523 of the family's 1533-position model. The record is from RNAcentral.
AUUGAACGCUGGCGGCAGGCCUAACACAUGCAAGUCGAACGGUAACAGAAAGAAGCUUGCUUCUUUGCUGACGAGUGGCGGACGGGUGAGUAAUGUCUGGGAAACUGCCUGAUGGAGGGGGAUAACUACUGGAAACGGUAGCUAAUACCGCAUAACGUCGCAAGACCAAAGAGGGGGACCUUCGGGCCUCUUGCCAUCGGAUGUGCCCAGAUGGGAUUAGCUUGUUGGUGGGGUAACGGCUCACCAAGGCGACGAUCCCUAGCUGGUCUGAGAGGAUGACCAGCCACACUGGAACUGAGACACGGUCCAGACUCCUACGGGAGGCAGCAGUGGGGAAUUUUGCACAAUGGGCGCAAGCCUGAUGCAGCCAAGCCGCGUGUAUGAAGAAGGCCUUCGGGUUGUAAAGUACUUUCAGCGGGGAGGAAGGGAGUAAAGUUAAUACCUUUGCUCAUUGACGUUACCCGCAGAAGAAGCACCGGCUAACUCCGUGCCAGCAGCCGCAGUAA